Molecule: unclassified non-coding RNA, 230 nt
Filed under: Rhizophagus clarus
Lineage: Eukaryota; Fungi; Glomeromycota; Glomeromycetes; Glomerales; Glomeraceae
Description: partial contains 5.8S ribosomal RNA and internal transcribed spacer 2
Rfam family: 5.8S ribosomal RNA (bases 1-71)
Source: RNAcentral
GUGAAUCAUCGAAUUUUUGAACGCAAAUUGCACUCUCUGGGAUGCGGGAGAGUAUGCCUGUUUGAGGGUAAGAAUAAUCAAAAUCGGAGCGGUGCGUUUUGGGUGAAGCACCGGAGUUGGGGUAAUCUAAACUCUUUUUUUUAAGAGAACUAAAAUUAACAUUCUGGUUUGAUGAAUUUUGAGAAGUACAUAAUUUUUUUUUAUUCGACUAACCGGGUGGCAAAAAUUUU